This 234-nucleotide long non-coding RNA is filed under the name Mytilus galloprovincialis (Mediterranean mussel). The record is from RNAcentral. Lineage: Eukaryota; Metazoa; Mollusca; Bivalvia; Mytilida; Mytilidae.
GCUGUAUGCUCCUUGUAUAAGGUGGUCGGCCCUAUACAAGUGCAGGGUGUGGAGUUGAAUGACCAGUCCAACUCCAAAGGGUUUAAAUCAUUGAUCAUUAAUAUUUAUCCUCUUUAAAACAAAAAUGUUACAUACAAAAAUAAAAAUAAAACAAAACAUACAUGUACUAGCUAGUAUUAAAUAAAAAAUACAUGAUAUACACUAUAUUUACAAUACCGGUAUCUAUCUUUUUAC